ACAGAAACCACUUUGAUGAUUGAUUACAAAAUGUUCAAAAAAAUCGCUAGGCAGUAACUAGGCUUUCAUUCUGUUAUACUAAGCAUAAUGUUGCAGAUGUUGAUGGCCAAACUCGGUUUGUGAAAGGGUCUGACUUUACAAUACUGCAGCAACGACUCGCCUUCUCAUAUGUUUCCUCAUUGACACUUUGGUGGUCUCGUACUUGUCGUUAUGGGGACGACGCAGCAGCAACGCUUAUGGGUCUUCUAAACUCAAGGGAUAUGUCAUAGUGGUCACUGCUGUCAAUCCAAAAAUAUUUGGAGAUUGAAGAUAACGCACCUUUACAUCUUUCGGUCUUCAAAUCCCGGAACACCCGGUCUCUGAGAAUGGACAAAUGAUUGAAGACUAACAUUCCGUUCGUCAUUGCAAAUCAUCACAACUUUUAGAACAUUGUAUCUAUAUUUUUUGGGAUGAAGAACACGACACCUUCCAAGAGGAACAUGGAGAAGAUAACUAUGGUCACCUAAGAGCCUCCAAAGAGGAUAUCUAGAGUUGUCUUUCCUCCAGUGGAUUAGCUUAUACAUAAGCUCGAAAGCAAAGUUCAUUUAGAUUGAAGAACAUUAUUAAUGUUUUCAUCCCUUUCUGCUAUACAUAAUCUUCUUUCUUUUUAUGUACGAAUUUUUUACAUCGUAAGACACAUUGUGAUUUUACAAUUACACACAGGAGCACAUUCCACUUGACAGACACUUUA
Molecule: long non-coding RNA, 730 nt
Organism: Raphanus sativus (radish)
Lineage: Eukaryota; Viridiplantae; Streptophyta; Magnoliopsida; Brassicales; Brassicaceae
Exons: 3
Source: RefSeq, a predicted model, not a curated record